This 443-nucleotide ribosomal RNA is filed under the name uncultured bacterium. RNAcentral's name for it is "partial 16S ribosomal RNA". It matches the Rfam family "Bacterial small subunit ribosomal RNA", at positions 338 to 795 of the family's 1533-position model. The record is from RNAcentral.
CCUACGGGUGGCAGCAGUGGGGAAUAUUGGGCAAUGGGCGCAAGCCUGACCCAGCAACGCCGCGUGAAGGAAGAAGGCUUUCGGUUUGUAAACUUCUUUUCUCAGGGACGAAGCAAGUGACGGUACCUAAGGAAUAAGCCACGGCUAACUACGUGCCAGCAGCCGCGGUAAUACGUAGGUGGCAAGCGUUAUCGGGAUUUACUGGGUGUAAAGGGCGUGUAGGCGGGAAAGCAAGUCAGAUGUGAAAACCAUGGGCUCAACCUGUGGCCUGCAUUUGAAACUGUUUUUCUUGAGUACUGGAGAGGCAGACGGAAUUCCUAGUGUAGCGGUGAAAUGCGUAGAUAUUAGGAGGAACACCAGUGGCGAAGGCGGUCUGCUGGACAGCAACUGACGCUGAGGCGCGAAAGCGUGGGGAGCAAACAGGAUUAGAUACCCUUGUAGUC